Long non-coding RNA from Xenopus tropicalis (tropical clawed frog), 854 nucleotides. RefSeq lists it as uncharacterized. The transcript is spliced from 4 exons. The record is from RefSeq and is a predicted model, not a curated record. Lineage: Eukaryota; Metazoa; Chordata; Amphibia; Anura; Pipidae.
CUUUCAGGAUAUAGACUGGCAGAAAUUUCUGGAAAGGACAAUCAUGCCUCCAUUUGUGCCAGACAUGCAAGGCCAUCUGGAGAGCUUCAUGAAUCCCAAAUGCCAAGGUCGAGCAUUAAAUACAUCAGCGCGGAGAAUAACACCAGCGCAGCAAGAGGCAUUCGUGGGCUUUGAUUAUUCCCCUGACUGAACAACACACAGUCUGAAGGGGCAAAGGUCGGAAUGGACGGGGUGGGCGGAGGGCCAGUCCAUAUCCGUAUAAGCAAUCCCAGUCGUAUGAAAUGAAUAUCAGAUGGCUCACGUACGUUCUGAAGGAAACGCAGAAAAUUCUUCUCAAUACAAACAUAAUCGCCUGUGUAACAGUUGAGAAGAUCAAGUACGAAGGUUGCAGUUACCCAACAUGGAAGAUCUGAAGGAGAGAAUAUUGAGGAUGGUUUCCAUCUGUAACCUCCCCAAGGUCUCACAAGAGUUUUCAUCCUCCUACUUGCAGGUGUGAGAUGGAGUGGCGGCGGCCAAAUGUGGUCAUUACACAAGGAAUCGCUCCUAGGAACCGAGAGAAGAAAAAAGAAGUUGAUCUACAGCAGGUUAAGCUGCAAGUGAGAAGAGGAUCAGCCGGUGAAUCAGUGCACGGGGUAAUAGCAGCACAGUAUUACAGAUGGUUUCCCCAAGGACUUACCUUUCAUUCGGUGAAGGACCAGUUUGAGAGAACAGCAUCGCCAUGGACUCCAGGAUUAUUGCCAUCGCUUAUUUGCUCCUUCCCAACGUUUAAAUGGGAGACACUGACUCCGGCAGCCAAAACCAACUGCUCUGUGAUGCUCCCGUUUUUCUUUAUUGUUAAUUUACAAUAUUAUUAA